UUGGACCUGAUAUCCAGGCAAGAUUACCCGCUGAACUUAA
RNAcentral lists this ribosomal RNA (40 nucleotides) under Phytophthora drechsleri. RNAcentral describes it as "partial 28S ribosomal RNA". Lineage: Eukaryota; Oomycota; Peronosporomycetes; Peronosporales; Peronosporaceae. The record is from RNAcentral.